Molecule: long non-coding RNA, 1681 nt
Filed under: Amborella trichopoda
Lineage: Eukaryota; Viridiplantae; Streptophyta; Magnoliopsida; Amborellales; Amborellaceae
Description: long non-coding RNA (ATRI_LNC001178)
Source: RNAcentral
GUAGUUACUAUAGAGUCCUUUAGGGAAAAAAAAUAGUUGAUUUCCAUGGAGCUAAUUAUUAAAUUCUUUCAAGCACAAGGUUAACAGUCCAGCUCUACCACAUUCAUCUAUGCUAUGCAGGGCCAUAACAAAAAAAUCCAAGUGAAAAAGCCAAAGAUAAACCUUAAUAGCUUCCAACAAUGUUACACCUACCAGGUACCACCACUACUGCAGCAUCUAGGAUGGAUAUCAAACAUUGGCAAUGAAAACAUACCAUGAUGACUCACUUCUUAAGAAACUUAGUCAUCAUCAAUAUAACAAGACACACAAUUCAAUGGUUACUGACUCUCAAAGCGAUGCUAUUAACUUCACAUUCUAGCCCAUAAAAGAGCCCAAUUAUACUUAGAAUUAGAAUGAGAAAAGCACAUAUGAUUGACAAUACAAAUGGCACUUAACACUCUUUUCUCGUCAAAAACAUAAAAGCACCCCAAUUAAAAAUUAUCAAAAACAAUAAAUUAUCCAUGAAUGUCAAAUUUGAUUGGGAUCCAGAACAAUCAAUGCCUCCAGCCCUAGACAACACAUAAAAUCACCUCAUACAAUAAAAAUUAAUUAGUAGAAAACAACUGAAAUGCAUCUAAGUCCUAGCAAACGCGGCACUAGAGAUAACUGGUAGCAGGCACCUACAUAAAAGGAUUCAAGCACAAACAAAUGGAUUCAUCAUAAAAAUAACCAAUGAGUUCAUCAUUAAACAAUUCAAGUCAAAAUACAAGUUCUUGGUACAGAAUGCGCUCUUAACAUCUCAUUUCGUGACUACUCAAACAUGGACAGAUUAUCCCUGGAAGAGUCUACACGACCCAUCGCGGAUCAACAUCAGUGUGAUUGGUAACGGCAGUCAGGUCCUGAAUUUGUAUCAUUGCCCCAUGGGCAUAAAAGAGGACAAUGAGAACACAACCAGCAUAGAAGAAUACAUAGAGUGUUCAGGUUCCGAGGUUUCUUUUCUGUUUGGGGGCAUUUCAUGGAACCUCCUCUACCAUCAUUGUCACCAAUCUAUCAUAUCCUCACCACGCAUAAGUUCAUCAUAAAGAAAAAACAGAAAUGGAACCUCCUCAACCAUCAUUGUCACCAAUCUAUCAUAUCCUCACCACGCAUAAGUUCAUCAUCUAUGAAUCAGGUCAUCACACACAAGUUUUGAUAAAACAGGAAGUUCCUAACAAAAGAAACAUCUGAUAUGAGAAAAACAAAGAGGGAAACACAAAAAGUUACAAUCAAAAUGUAGUCAAGAAUCCGAAAGAAUGAAAGGAGAGAAAAUAAAAAGAAAGCUCACCGCCAAGCGACGUGGAAUCAGGGAAGAAAGAAUUAACUGGAGUGGAGGUCGAUGUUUGUAUAGAGGGAGAUGGUCUUUGUGAGGUGGAGUUGAGAUGGAAUUUUUGCAAGGAAUUGACACCUGCUCCUGCUCUCUCCCCUUCAAAUUCCCUCCUUCCAUGACUGAAUACAGGGCUUGCCCUCCCUUUUUCUGUUUCCAUUGUAUGCAAACCCAAUCUUGUGCUCAUCUCCAUCCUCACAAGUCAGAAUAAAAUAGGGAAGAUGAAAUAUGCAUCAGCGACUACAAUCAGGCCCCGUUGGAUGCCGGCUAGGCCCUAAUGCUGCAUUUCAAGUGGACAAUUGUCAUUUUAUUUUUAAAAUAAUAUUUUCAUCUUUGUUU